Molecule: long non-coding RNA, 654 nt
Organism: Amblyraja radiata (thorny skate)
Lineage: Eukaryota; Metazoa; Chordata; Chondrichthyes; Rajiformes; Rajidae
Exons: 2
Source: RefSeq, a predicted model, not a curated record
UGAGGUGACUGGAGCAUAGAGACCUGGGCGAAUGACAGCAGCACCUGCCUGUGUCUGAGUUUCAUUACCUCAGAACACUUAGGGACUGAAAAAGAAAUAGAACGACAGAGAAGGAAACUCGACAAAUCGAAAUGCCCCCACUUGAGAGGCACCGCCGUUCAGUUAACAGAACUCCCCGAAGAAUCAAGAUGUGUGGAUUAGGUCAACCCAAACUGAACUUCAAACUGGACUAUUUAAGGUUUGUCAUUCUGAUCUCAAUCUGGAGUCAAUUACCAUGGAAAUGCCUGUCUGAAUUUACUGAAGGUUUGACACCACGUAAUACUUUGUAGCACUGAUGAUGAUGACAGCACGAAAACCAGAGGUGAAUAUGCAGAGCAAAGCAUAACAAUUGGUACAGCUCAGAACUGUCCAAUCUUUGCUUAGUCUAAAACUCCUCUCCUACUUUCAAAUACAUUGAAAAUCAAAGUUGCCUUAAAGAAAUGCAAAAUCUUUUAAGUCAGAGAGGUCUUUCCAUUUGUGUCAGCGCUACUUAUUCAUCUCCUUCAGAGGAACAAAAUCUGAUGAUGAUUUAUUAACCUGAAGUGGCACACAUAGGCAUCUGUUUUCUUCAAGGAUCAUAUGAGUUAUUUGAAAAUAAAGAUAAAAUGCCUGAAA